RNAcentral lists this long non-coding RNA (732 nucleotides) under Canis lupus familiaris (dog). RNAcentral describes it as "lncRNA (ENSCAFG00040022549.1)". The record is from RNAcentral. Lineage: Eukaryota; Metazoa; Chordata; Mammalia; Carnivora; Canidae.
GUGAGAUCUGGGACCCGGCGGGGACGGGGAGGCGGGGCCCAGGUGGGAGGGGCGAGAUCUGGGACCGGGAGGGAGCGGGACUGAGGAGCGGGUUGGCGGGGCCGGGACUGGGACCCGGGCAGGGGCAGGCUGGGAUCUGGGCCCGGGUCGCAGCCAGGGCGGGGGCGUUGGUGGGAGCGGCAGUGGCUGGGACCUGGGCGGGGGCGGGGCGCCGAGGGCGGGGCUGGGGCUGGGCCCCGGGCGGAGCCGAGGGCGGGGGGAGGUGGGCGGAGCGGGGCUGGGAAGCGGCGCGGCCGAGGGGCUGCAGGAAAGUUGCGGGGAUCGGAGCGGCAGCAGCCGCGGAGCCGCGGGAGUGGGGACCGCCCCGCGGGGGCAGAGCGGGCGGCGCGCACCGGGGCGGCAGGGAGCGCCCCAGACCCGUCUCCCGGGGAUGUGUGGGGCCCCGAGCCUGGUGCGGGCGCGCGGCCGGGCACAGCGGUUCCGUUACCCGUGUAUCAGAGAACCGACAAAAGGGAGGUGCACCGUAUGCAGGUUAGGAGUGAAAAAAGCAAGCCCUCCCCAACCACCAUCCCAAAUCUGGAACAAAUAAUCCUAAAAUUUGUAUGGAACCAGAAAAGAUCCCAAAUAGUCAAAGGAAUGUUGAAAAAGGAAACCAAAACUGGUGGCAUCACAAUAUUCACAAUAUUGGACUUCAAGUUCUAUUACAAAGGCAUAAUCAUCAAGACAAUAUGA